UGGGGAAUUUUGGACAAUGGGCGCAAGCCUGAUCCAGCCAUUCCGCGUGCAGGAUGAAGGCCCUCGGGUUGUAAACUGCUUUUGUACGGAACGAAAMGCGCUGRGUUAAUACCUCGGCGUMAUGACGGUACCGUAAGAAUAAGCACCGGCUAACUACGUGCCAGCAGCCGCGGUAAUACGUAGGGUGCAAGCGUUAAUCGGAAUUACUGGGCGUAAAGCGUGCGCAGGCGGUGAUGUAAGACAGRUGUGAAAUCCCCGGGCUYAACCUGGGAACYGCAUUUGWGACUGCAUCGCUGGAGUGCGGCAGAGGGGGAUGGAAUUCCGCGUGUAGCAGUGAAAUGCGUAGAUAUGCGGAGGAACACCGAUGGCGAAGGCAAUCCCCUGGGCCUGCACUGACGCUCAUGCACGAAAGCGUGGGGAGCAAACAGGAUUAGAUACCCUGGUAGUCCACGCCCUAAACGAUGUCAACUGGUUGUUGGKCCUUCACUGNNUCAGUAACGAAGCUAACGCGUGAAGUUGACCGCCUGGGGAGUACNGCCGCAAGGUUG
RNAcentral lists this ribosomal RNA (548 nucleotides) under uncultured bacterium. RNAcentral's name for it is "partial 16S ribosomal RNA". It matches the Rfam family "Bacterial small subunit ribosomal RNA", at positions 355 to 896 of the family's 1533-position model. The record is from RNAcentral.